CUACGGGUUGCUCCAGUCGAGAAUCUUUCGCAAUGCCCGAAAGGGUGACGAAGCGACGCCGCGUGUGGGAAGAAGGCCUUCGGGUUGUAAACCACUGUCGGGAGUUAAGAAAUGUAAGGGUGUUAACAGCAUCCUUACUUGACUAAGGCUCCGGAGGAAGCCACGGCUAACUCUGUGCCAGCAGCCGCGGUAAUACAGAGGCGGCAAGCGUUGUUCGGAAUUAUUGGGCGUAAAGAGCACGUAGGCGGCCUUGUAAGUCAGUUGUGAAAGCCUUCUGCUUAACGGAAGAACAGCAUCUGAUACUGCGAGGCUAGAGUGCGGGAGGGGAGAGUGGAACUUCUGGUGGAGCGGUGAAAUGCGUAGAUAUCAGAAGGAACGCCGGCGGCGAAAGCGGCUCUCUGGCCCGUAACUGACGCUGAGUGUGCGAAAGCUAGGGGAGCAAACGGGAUUAGAUACCCGGGUAGUC
This 466-nucleotide ribosomal RNA is filed under the name uncultured bacterium. RNAcentral describes it as "partial 16S ribosomal RNA". It matches the Rfam family "Bacterial small subunit ribosomal RNA", at positions 339 to 795 of the family's 1533-position model. The record is from RNAcentral.